UGCAAGUCGAACGAAGAACUUUUAAAAUAAUUUUCGAAAUAUUUUAAAAGUUUCUAGUGGCAGACGGCUGAGUAAUGCAUUGGUACCCACCCCAAAGUGGGGGAUAGCUCAUCGAAAGAUGGGGUAAUCCCGCAUGUGCCCGAAAGGGUAAAGCUUUCGCGCUUUGGGAGGGGCCUUUGUCCUAUCAGUUUGUUGGUGAGGUAAUGGCUCACCAAGACUAUGACGGGUAGCUGGAUCGAGAGGUUGACCAGCCAGACUGGGACUGAGACACGGCCCAGACUCCUACGGGAGGCAGCAGUGAGGAAUUUUCCACAAUGGGCGAAAGCCUGAUGGAGCGACGCCGCGUGAAGGAUGAAGCUUUUCGGAGUGUAAACUUCUUUUAUGUGGGAAGAUUAUGACGGUACCACAUGAAGGGGGGGGGGGUAACUACGUGCCAGCAGCCGCGGUAAUACGUAGGGUGCGAGCGUUAUCCGGAAUUACUGGGCGUAAAGCGUGCGUAGGCGGAUUUUUAAGUCGAAUGUUAAAUCUACAGGCUCAACUUGUAGGCUGCAUUCGAUACUGGAAGUCUUGAGAGUGGAAGAGGCAGAUGGAAUUCUCGGUGGAGCGGUUAAAUGCGUAGAUAUCGAGAGGAACACCAAUGGCGAAGGCAAUCUGCUGGGCCACUUCUGACGCUAAGGCACGAAAGCGUGGGGAGCGAUCG
RNAcentral lists this ribosomal RNA (700 nucleotides) under uncultured bacterium. Its description in RNAcentral is "bacterial SSU rRNA". It matches the Rfam family "Bacterial small subunit ribosomal RNA", at positions 56 to 774 of the family's 1533-position model. The record is from RNAcentral.